AGCAGCCGCGGUAAUUCCAGCUCCAAUAGCGUAUAUUAAAGUUGCUGCAGUUAAAAAGCUCGUAGUUGAAUUUCGGGACCAUCAUGUCGGUCGUGCCUCGGUACGUACUGGCAUUGUUGGUUUCUACCUUCUGACGAACCAUGAUGUCAUUUAUUUGGUGUCGUGGGAAAUCAGGACUGUUACUUUGAAAAAAUUAGAGUGUUUAAAGCAGGCUCACGCUUGAAUACAUUAGCAUGGAAUAAUGAAAUAGGACGUUUGAUUCUAUUUUGUUGGUUUCUAGGAUCGACGUAAUGAUUAAUAGGGAUAGUUGGGGGCAUUAGUAUUCAAUUGUCAGAGGUGAAAUUCUUGGAUUUAUUGAAGACUAACUACUGCGAAAGCAUUUGCCAAGGAUGUUUUCAUUAAUCAAGAACGAAAGUUAGGGGAUCGAAGACGAUCAGAUACCGUCGUAGUCUUAACCAUAAACUAUGCCGACUAGGGAUCGGAUGAUGUUAAUUUUUUAAUGA
RNAcentral lists this ribosomal RNA (503 nucleotides) under uncultured Glomus. Its description in RNAcentral is "SSU rRNA". It matches the Rfam family "Eukaryotic small subunit ribosomal RNA", at positions 569 to 1077 of the family's 1831-position model. Lineage: Eukaryota; Fungi; Glomeromycota; Glomeromycetes; Glomerales; Glomeraceae. The record is from RNAcentral.